GGUAAAGUGGCCGAAUGUUAGGCGGUAGGCUGUAGACCNNUUUACAUUGGUUUAAUUCCUUUCUUUAUC
This 69-nucleotide transfer RNA is filed under the name Anolis garmani. Its description in RNAcentral is "tRNA-Tyr". It matches the Rfam family "tRNA". Rfam says of the family: Transfer RNA (tRNA) molecules are approximately 80 nucleotides in length. Their secondary structure includes four short double-helical elements and three loops (D, anti-codon, and T loops). Lineage: Eukaryota; Metazoa; Chordata; Lepidosauria; Squamata; Anolidae. The record is from RNAcentral.